RNAcentral lists this ribosomal RNA (253 nucleotides) under uncultured bacterium. RNAcentral describes it as "partial 16S ribosomal RNA". It matches the Rfam family "Bacterial small subunit ribosomal RNA", at positions 524 to 776 of the family's 1533-position model. The record is from RNAcentral.
UACAGAGGUGGCAAGCGUUGUUCGGAAUUACUGGGCGUAAAGGGCGCGUAGGCGGCCUUCUAAGUCAGACGUGAAAUCCCCCGGCUUAACCUGGGAACUGCGUCUGAUACUGGGAGGCUCGAGUAUGGGAGAGGGAUGUAGAAUUCCAGGUGUAGCGGUGAAAUGCGUAGAUAUCUGGAGGAAUACCGGUGGCGAAGGCGGCAUCCUGGACCAUUACUGACGCUGAGGCGCGAAAGCUAGGGGAGCAAACGGG